AACGCACCUUGCGCUCUCUAGUUAUUCUGGAGAGCAUGCUUGUUUGAGUGUCGCGAACCUCUCAACCCCGUCAAGGGCUUAAUUGCCUUUGAUUGCUUGGGCUUGGAUCAUGGUCUUUGCCGUUACCUUUCGGGGUUUGGGCUAGAUUGAAAUGUAACAAGUUGAAUCAAAUCGGUAACAGCUUGACCUGAUGUUGUAAUCUACUCAUCGGGGAUGUUGCCAUUGAGAGGACUUUAAUAGAACCCCUUAUCGUACUUCGCGUACAAUUUAUGACCUCAAAUCAAGUAGGACUACCCGCUGAACUUAA
Molecule: unclassified non-coding RNA, 307 nt
Filed under: uncultured fungus
Lineage: Eukaryota; Fungi
Also listed under: 1 other name
Description: partial contains 5.8S ribosomal RNA, internal transcribed spacer 2, and large subunit ribosomal RNA
Source: RNAcentral